UGCGUAGGCGGAUUAAUAAGUCAGUGGUGAAAUCUUUCGGCUCAACCGAGAAACUGCCAUUGAUACUGUUAAUCUUGAGUUCGGUUGAGGUAGGCGGAAUGUGUAAUGUAGCGGUGAAAUGCCUAGAUAUUACACAGAACACCAAUUGCGUAGGCAGCUUACUAGACCGACACUGACGCUGAGGCACGAAAGCGUGGGGAGCGAACAGGAUUAGAUACCCUGGUAGUCC
RNAcentral lists this ribosomal RNA (229 nucleotides) under uncultured bacterium. Its description in RNAcentral is "partial 16S ribosomal RNA". It matches the Rfam family "Bacterial small subunit ribosomal RNA", at positions 568 to 796 of the family's 1533-position model. The record is from RNAcentral.